RNAcentral lists this ribosomal RNA (492 nucleotides) under uncultured organism. RNAcentral describes it as "bacterial SSU rRNA". It matches the Rfam family "Bacterial small subunit ribosomal RNA", at positions 424 to 917 of the family's 1533-position model. The record is from RNAcentral.
UGUAAACUGCUUUUAUAAGGGAAUAAAGUGAGUCUCGUGAGACUUUUUGCAUGUACCUUAUGAAUAAGGACCGGCUAAUUCCGUGCCAGCAGCCGCGGUAAUACGGAAGGUCCGGGCGUUAUCCGGAUUUAUUGGGUUUAAAGGGAGCGUAGGCCGGAGAUUAAGCGUGUUGUGAAAUGUAGACGCUCAACGUCUGCACUGCAGCGCGAACUGGUUUCCUUGAGUACGCACAAAGUGGGCGGAAUUCGUGGUGUAGCGGUGAAAUGCUUAGAUAUCACGAAGAACUCCGAUUGCGAAGGCAGCUCACUGGAGCGCAACUGACGCUGAAGCUCGAAAGUGCGGGUAUCGAACAGGAUUAGAUACCCUGGUAGUCCGCACGGUAAACGAUGGAUGCCCGCUGUUGGUCUGAAUAGGUCAGCGGCCAAGCGAAAGCAUUAAGCAUCCCACCUGGGGAGUACGCCGGCAACGGUGCAACUCAAAGGAAUUGACGGA